RNAcentral lists this ribosomal RNA (354 nucleotides) under uncultured eukaryote. Its description in RNAcentral is "bacterial SSU rRNA". It matches the Rfam family "Eukaryotic small subunit ribosomal RNA", at positions 592 to 951 of the family's 1831-position model. The record is from RNAcentral.
CAAUAGCGUAUAUUAAAGUUGUUGCGGUUAAAAAGCUCGUAGUUGGAUUUCUGCUGAGGACGACCGGUCCGCCCUCUGGGUGAGUAUCUGGCUCGGCCUGGCAUCUUCUUGGGGAACGUAACUGCACUUGACUGUGUGGUGCGGUAUCCAGGACUUUUACUUUGAGGAAAUUAGAGUGUUUCAAGCAGGCAUACGCCUUGAAUACAUUAGCAUGGAAUAAUGAGAUAGGACUUUUGGUACUAUUUGUUGGUUUGCGCACCAAGGUAAUGAUUAAUAGGGAUAGUUGGGGGUAUUCAUAUUCAAUUGUCAGAGGUGAAAUUCUUGGAUUUUAUGGAAGAUGAACUUAUGCGAAAG